AUACGUAGGGGGCGAGCGUUGUCCGGAAUGAUUGGGCGUAAAGGGCGCGUAGGCGGCCUGGUAAGUCUGAAGUGAAAGUCCCGCUUUCAAGGUGGGAAUUGCUUUGGAUACUGCUGGGCUUGAGUGCAGGAGAGGAAAGCGGAAUUCCCGGUGUAGCGGUGAAAUGCGUAGAGAUCGGGAGGAACACCAGUGGCGAAGGCGGCUUUCUGGACUGUAACUGACGCUGAGGCGCGAAAGCGUGGGGAGCAAACAGGAUUAGAUACCCUGGUAGUCCACGCUGUAAACGAUGAAUGCUAGGUGUAGGAGGUAUCGACCCCUUCUGUGCCGGAGUAAACACAAUAAGCAUUCCGCCUGGGGAGUACGGCCGCAAGGUUGAAACUCAAAUGAAUUGACGGGG
RNAcentral lists this ribosomal RNA (397 nucleotides) under uncultured bacterium. RNAcentral's name for it is "partial 16S ribosomal RNA". It matches the Rfam family "Bacterial small subunit ribosomal RNA", at positions 523 to 918 of the family's 1533-position model. The record is from RNAcentral.